GCCAGGUGCACUAGUGCAUGCCUGUAGUUCCAGCUACUUGGGAGGCUGAGGUAGGAAGAUCACUUGAACCCAGAGUUCUAGGCUAGAGUGUGCUAUGCUGAUUGGGUAUCUGCACUAAGUUCAGCAUCAGUAUGGUGACCUCCUGGGAGUGGGGGACCACGAGGUUGCCUAAGGAAGGGUGAACUGGGCCAGAUCAGAAAAAGAGCAGGUUAAAACUCCACUGCUGAUCAAUAGUGGGAUCAUGCCUGUGAAUAGCCACUGCACUCAGGCGUGGGCAAUAUAGUGAGACCCUGCCUCUC
Molecule: unclassified non-coding RNA, 299 nt
Organism: Callithrix jacchus (white-tufted-ear marmoset)
Lineage: Eukaryota; Metazoa; Chordata; Mammalia; Primates; Cebidae
Rfam family: Metazoan signal recognition particle RNA
About the family: The signal recognition particle (SRP) is a universally conserved ribonucleoprotein. It is involved in the co-translational targeting of proteins to membranes. The eukaryotic SRP consists of a 300-nucleotide 7S RNA and six proteins: SRPs 72, 68, 54, 19, 14, and 9.
Source: Ensembl